RNAcentral lists this ribosomal RNA (492 nucleotides) under uncultured bacterium. Its description in RNAcentral is "partial 16S ribosomal RNA". It matches the Rfam family "Bacterial small subunit ribosomal RNA", at positions 29 to 507 of the family's 1533-position model. The record is from RNAcentral.
AGCGAACGCUGGCGGUAGGCCUAACACAUGCAAGUCGAACGGCAGCACAGUAAGAGCUUGCUCUUACGGGUGGCGAGUGGCGGACGGGUGAGGAAUACAUCGGAAUCUACUUUUUCGGGGGGGAUAACGUAGGGAAACUUACGCUAAUACCGCAUACGACCUACGGGUGAAAGCAGGGGAUCUUCGGACCUUGCGCGAUUGAAUGAGCCGAUGUCGGAUUAGCUAGUUGGCGGGGUAAAGGCCCACCAAGGCGACGAUCCGUAGCUGGUCUGAGAGGAAGAUCAGCCACACUGGAACUGGGACACGGUCCAUGCUCCUACGGGAGGCAGCAGUGGGGAAUGUUGGACAAUGGGCGGAAACCUGAUACAGCCAUACCGCGUGGGUUAAGAAGGCCUUCCGGUUGUAAAGCCCUUUUGUUGGGAAAGAAAAGCAGCAGGUUAAUACCACGCUGUUCUGACGGUACCCAAAGAAUAAGCACCGGCUAACUUCGUG